AGAAAUUGUUUGAAUAAGAAGAGUAGCAUUAGUUUGCAAUGAAGAGAGUCAGUGGUUGGUGAGAACUGAUUUGUAUCUAGUGUGAAUGGACUUAUGAGAGCUAUCUUGAGAACGACUAUUCGUUUUAGAGGUAGACGUAUUUCCUACGUUACAGGAUAAUGAAGUGGGAGCAUUAAGCUCCAACUAGAGGUGGCAACGCGGUCAAAACCGUCCUCUUC
RNAcentral lists this non-coding RNA (218 nucleotides) under Psychrobacillus sp. Its description in RNAcentral is "T-box sequence". It matches the Rfam family "T-box leader". From Rfam's summary of the family: Uncharged tRNA acts as the effector for transcription antitermination of genes in the T-box leader family. T-boxes are found upstream of many aminoacyl-tRNA synthetase genes and some amino acid biosynthetic genes usually in Gram-positive bacteria. The anticodon of a specific tRNA base pairs to a specifier sequence within the T-box motif, and the NCCA acceptor tail of the tRNA base pairs to a conserved bulge in the T-box antiterminator hairpin. The record is from RNAcentral. Lineage: Bacteria; Bacillati; Bacillota; Bacilli; Caryophanales; Bacillaceae.